CCUACGGGAGGCUGCAGUGGGGAAUAUUGCACAAUGGGGGAAACUCUGAUGCAGCGACGCCGCGUGAGUGAAGAAGUAACUCGUUAUUUAAAGCUCUAUUAGUAGGGAAGAAAAUGACGGUACCUGAGUAAGAAGCCCCGGCUAACUACGUGCCAGCAGCCGCGGUAAUACGGAGGGGGCAGGCGUUAUCCGGAUUUACUGGGUGUAAUGGUAGCGUAGUCGGCAGUGCAAGUCUGGAGUGAAAGGCGGGGGCUCAACCCCCGGACUGCUCUGGAAACUGUACGGCUGGAGUGCAGGAGAGGUAAGUGGAAUUCGUGGUGUAGCGGUGAAAUGCGUAGAUAUUAGGAGGAACACCAGUGGCGAAGGCAGCUUACUGGACUGUAACUGACGUUGAGGCUCGAAGGCGUGGGGAGCGAACAGGAUUAGAUACCCGAGUAGUC
Molecule: ribosomal RNA, 440 nt
Filed under: uncultured bacterium
Lineage: Bacteria
Description: partial 16S ribosomal RNA
Rfam family: Bacterial small subunit ribosomal RNA
Source: RNAcentral